GAUCCUGGCUCAGGAUGAACGCUGGCGGCGCGCCUAACACAUGCAAGUCGAACGAGAGAUGAGGAGCUUGCUCUUCAAAUCGAGUGGCGGACGGGUGAGUAACGCGUGAGGAACCUGCCUCAAAGAGGGGGACAACAGUUGGAAACGACUGCUAAUACCGCAUAAGCCCACGGCUCGGCACCGAGCAGAGGGAAAAGGAGUGAUCCGCUUUGAGAUGGCCUCGCGUCCGAUUAG
This 234-nucleotide ribosomal RNA is filed under the name uncultured bacterium. RNAcentral's name for it is "partial 16S ribosomal RNA". It matches the Rfam family "Bacterial small subunit ribosomal RNA", at positions 15 to 244 of the family's 1533-position model. The record is from RNAcentral.